GCAGCUAACGCAAUAAGUAGACCGCCUGGGGAGUACGGUCGCAAGAUUAAAACUCAAAUGAAUUGACGGGGGCCCGCACAAGCGGUGGAGCAUGUGGUUUAAUUCGAUGCAACGCGAAGAACCUUACCAGGUCUUGACAUCCUGCGAACUUACUAGAGAUAGUUUGGUGCCUUCGGGAACGCAGUGACAGGUGCUGCAUGGCUGUCGUCAGCUCGUGUUGUGAAAUGUUGGGUUAAGUCCCGUAACGAGCGCAACCCUUGUCCUUAUUUGCCAGCACGUAAUGGUGGGAACUUUAAGGAGACUGCCGGUGACAAACCGGAGGAAGGUGGGGACGACGUCAAGUCAUCAUGGCCCUUACGACCUGGGCUACACACGUGCUACAAUGGCCGGUACAGAGGGUUGCAAAGCCGCGAGGUGGAGCCAAUCCCAGAAAGCCGGUCGUAGUUCGGAUUGGAGUCUGCAACUCGACUCCAUGAAGCCGGAAUCGCUAGUAAUCGCGAAUCAGAAUGUCGCGGUGAAUACGUUCCCGGGCCUUGUACACACCGCCCGUCACACCAUGGGAGUGGGUUGCAAAAGAAGUGGGUAGACUAACCUUCGGGAGGUCGCUCACCACUUUGUGAUUCAUGACUGGGGUGAAGUCGUAACAAGGUA
This 651-nucleotide ribosomal RNA is filed under the name uncultured bacterium. RNAcentral describes it as "bacterial SSU rRNA". It matches the Rfam family "Bacterial small subunit ribosomal RNA", at positions 848 to 1498 of the family's 1533-position model. The record is from RNAcentral.